GAUGAAGAACGCAGCGAAAUGCGAUAAGUAAUGUGAAUUGCAGAAUUCAGUGAAUCAUCGAAUCUUUGAACGCACAUUGCGCCCCCUGGUAUUCCGGGGGGCAUGCCUGUCCGAGCGUCAUUACAACCCUCAAGCUCAGCUUGGUGUUGGGCCCCGCCGCCCCGGCGGGCCCUAAAGUCAGUGGCGGUGCCGUCCGGCUCCGAGCGUAGUAAUUCUUCUCGCUCUGGAGGUCCGGUCGUGUGCUCGCCAGCAACCCCCAAUUUUUUUCAGGUUGACCUCGGAUCAGGUAGGGAUACCCGCUGAACUUAAGCAUAUCAAUAAGCGGAGGG
This 329-nucleotide unclassified non-coding RNA is filed under the name soil metagenome. Its description in RNAcentral is "partial contains 5.8S ribosomal RNA, internal transcribed spacer 2, and large subunit ribosomal RNA". The stretch from base 1 to 120 matches the Rfam family "5.8S ribosomal RNA", at positions 35 to 154 of the family's 154-position model. The record is from RNAcentral.